GAUCAUGGCUCAGAACGAACGCUGGCGGCAGGCUUAACACAUGCAAGUUGAACGGGAUUUGUGUGGUGCUUGCACCAUAUAAUGAGAGUAGCGCACUGGUGAGUAACACGUGGGAACGUACCUUUUGGUGGGGGACAACAUCUGGAAACGGAUGCUAAUACCGCAUAAGACCUGAGGGUGAAAGAUUUAUCGCCGAAAGAACGGCCCGCGGAAGAUUAGGCAGUUGGUGGGGUAAAGGCCUACCAAAACCUACG
This 254-nucleotide ribosomal RNA is filed under the name uncultured bacterium. RNAcentral describes it as "partial 16S ribosomal RNA". It matches the Rfam family "Bacterial small subunit ribosomal RNA", at positions 15 to 278 of the family's 1533-position model. The record is from RNAcentral.